Molecule: ribosomal RNA, 497 nt
Filed under: uncultured bacterium
Lineage: Bacteria
Description: partial 16S ribosomal RNA
Rfam family: Bacterial small subunit ribosomal RNA
Source: RNAcentral
GAUGAACGCUGGCGGCGUGCCUAAUACAUGCAAGUCGAGCGAACAGACGAGGAGCUUGCUCCUCUGACGUUAGCGGCGGACGGGUGAGUAACACGUGGAUCACCUACCUAUAAGACUGGGAUAACUUCGGGAAACCGGAGCUAAUACCGGAUAAUAUAUUGAACCGCAUGGUUCAAUAGUGAAAGACGGUUUUGCUGUCACUUAUAGAUGGAUCCGCGCCGCAUUAGCUAGUUGGUAAGGUAACGGCUUACCAAGGCAACGAUGCGUAGCCGACCUGAGAGGGUGAUCGGCCACACUGGAACUGAGACACGGUCCAGACUCCUACGGGAGGCAGCAGUAGGGAAUCUUCCGCAAUGGGCGAAAGCCUGACGGAGCAACGCCGCGUGAGUGAUGAAGGUCUUCGGAUCGUAAAACUCUGUUAUUAGGGAAGAACAAAUGUGUAAGUAACUAUGCACGUCUUGACGGUACCUAAUAAGAAAGCCACGGCUAACUACGUG